UUCCUACCAAACAAAAAAGUACCGGAAACCGAAAAAUCUUAAUCAUAGAAAACCUUCUACUAAUUUUCAGGUCCAUCUUCCGAAUACCACUAGACUUCUCUUUCUUCAAUCCAUUAUCCGCCGUAUUCCCGCACUAGUAGCCAGUAAGUAAAUGCUAAUCCUCCUCCUACCUAUCCUUCAAUGCAUAAAUAUGAAGGAUAUUUUGGCCUAAUAGUUAAAAUUAAGGUGCUGUAAAUAAUAUGUGAAAGGUUCUAAUCCUAGUUGUUUAUCCAAUAUUAAUAUGGUGGAACGUGAGCAUUUCGUAUUUCGUUGAUGCAAAGAUCCUAUAAUAGAAAUUACAUAUAGUAGUUGUUCGACGUUUUGCCUUGUGAAGAGGUUGUUGUACGAAUCUGAGAAGUUCGGAGAUGAUGGCAUUGAUGGAUCAUUAGAGGCGACACCGGAGUAGCACUGAACUCCAUUAAUCGUGGGCAGCAUAUUGUGUCGAACAAGAGUCAAUCCAAGCAUGAAUAUGACCACUAAUGAUUUCCUCAUGUACAGCAUGUACAAUUUUUCUCCUGUAAAAUAAAAUUGCUGAAAAUUUGGUCAUUCUUAUACUAGUCUUUUUCUAAGGUCCUUUUCAUAUGGGAAAAUUUUCCCCACUGCCUUAAUUGGUAAGUCUAAUAAUGGUAAUGGUGUAGUUUUCUCAAACUUUAUCUGCUUCGUAUAAGUCUGAUUAUAAUUGUAUUAUUAGAUAUUGUGAUUAUCGUAAUGGUUUUUGUGCUUGCUCUUUUGGGCUGACAAUUCUCUUUAAACUUUAUUAUUGAUAAUUUGUUGAUCUUA
This is a long non-coding RNA of Beta vulgaris subsp. vulgaris (sugar beet), 819 nucleotides long. RefSeq lists it as uncharacterized. The record is from RefSeq and is a predicted model, not a curated record. The transcript has 3 exons. NCBI's taxonomy places the organism in Eukaryota, Viridiplantae, Streptophyta, Magnoliopsida, Caryophyllales, Amaranthaceae.